AUCUACAGCCAUGCUACCCUGAACAAGCCCGAUCCUGUCUGAUUUCGGAAGCUAAGCAGGGUCGGGCCUGGUUAGUACUUGGAUGGGAGACCACCUAGGAAGACCAGGUGCUGUAGGUG
This 119-nucleotide ribosomal RNA is filed under the name Pteropus alecto (black flying fox). Lineage: Eukaryota; Metazoa; Chordata; Mammalia; Chiroptera; Pteropodidae. The record is from RNAcentral.